CAGAAGAGGACAGUGGAACUCCAUGUGUAGCGGUGAAAUGCGUAGAUAUAUGGAAGAACACCAGUGGCGAAGGCGGCUGUCUGGUCUGUAACUGACGCUGAGGCUCGAAAGUAUGGGUAGCAAACAGGAUUAGAUACCCUGGUAGUCCAUACCGUAAACGAUGAAUGCUAAGUGUUGGAGGGUUUCCGCCCUUCAGUGCUGCAGCUAACGCAUUAAGCAUUCCGCCUGGGGAGUACGGCCGCAAGGCUGAAACUCAAAGGAAUUGACGGGGGCCCGCACAAGCGGUGGAGCAUGUGGUUUAAUUCGAAGCUACGCGAAGAACCUUACCAGGUCUUGACAUGCUAUGCAAAUCUAAGAGAUUAGACGUUCCCUUCGGGGACAUGGAUGCAGGUGGUGCAUGGUUGUCGUCAGCUCGUGUCGUGAGAUGUUGGGUUAAGUCCCGCAACGAGCGCAACCCUUAUUAUCAGUUGCCAGCAUUAAGUUGGGCACUCUGGUGAGACUGCCGGUGACAAACCGGAGGAAGGUGGGGAUGACGUCAAAUCAUCAUGCCCCUUAUGACCUGGGCUACACACGUGCUACAAUGGAUGGUACAACGAGUUGCGAACUCGCGAGAGUAAGCUAAUCUCUUAAAGUCAUUCUCAGUUCGGAUUGUAGGCUGCAACUCGCCUACAUGAAGUCGGAAUCGCUAGUAAUCGCGGAUCAGCAUGCCGCGGUGAAUACGUUCCCGGGCCUUGUACACACCGCCCGUCACACCAUGAGAGUUUGUAACACCCAAAGUCGGUGGGGUAACCUUUUAGGAACCAGCCGCCUAAGGUGGGACAGAUGAUUAGGGUGAAGUCGUAACAAGGUAGCCGUA
RNAcentral lists this ribosomal RNA (856 nucleotides) under uncultured bacterium. Its description in RNAcentral is "bacterial SSU rRNA". It matches the Rfam family "Bacterial small subunit ribosomal RNA", at positions 649 to 1504 of the family's 1533-position model. The record is from RNAcentral.